AGGUGCCCGUACCGCAAACCGACACAGGUAGUCAAGAUGAGAAUUCUAAGGUGAGCGAGCGAACUCUCGUUAAGGAACUCGGCAAAAUGACCCCGUAACUUCGGGAGAAGGGGUGCUCUUUAGGGUUAACGCCCAGAAGAGCCGCAGUGAAUAGGCCCAAGCGACUGUUUAUCAAAAACACAGGUCUCUGCUAAACCGUAAGGUGAUGUAUAGGGGCUGACGCCUGCCCGGUGCUGGAAGGUUAAGAGGAGUGGUUAGCUUCUGCGAAGCUACGAAUCGAAGCCCCAGUAAACGGCGGCCGUAACUAUAACGGUCCUAAGGUAGCGAAAUUCCUUGUCGGGUAAGUUCCGACCCGCACGAAAGGCGUAACGAUUUGGGCACUGUCUCAACGAGAGACUCGGUGAAAUCAUAGUACCUGUGAAGAUGCAGGUUACCCGCGACAGGACGGAAAGACCCCGUGGAGCUUUACUGUAGCCUGAUAUUGAAAUUCGGCACAGCUUGUACAGGAUAGGUAGGAGCCUUUGAAACGUGAGCGCUAGCUUACGUGGAGGCGCUGGUGGGAUACUACCCUAGCUGUGUUGGCUUUCUAACCCGCACCACUUAUCGUGGUGGGAGACAGUGUCAGGCGGGCAGUUUGACUGGGGCGGUCGCCUCCUAAAAGGUAACGGAGGCGCUCAAAGGUUCCCUCAGAAUGGUUGGAAAUCAUUCAUAGAGUGUAAAGGCAUAAGGGAGCUUGACUGCGAGACCUACAAGUCGAGCAGGGUCGAAAGACGGACUUAGUGAUCCGGUGGUUCCGCAUGGAAGGGCCAUCGCUCAACGGAUAAAAGCUACCCCGGGGAUAACAGGCUUAUCUCCCCCAAGAGUUCACAUCGACGGGGAGGUUUGGCACCUCGAUGUCGGCUCAUCGCAUCCUGGGGCUGUAGUCGGUCCCAAGGGUUGGGCUGUUCGCCCAUUAAAGCGGUACGCGAGCUGGGUUCAGAACGUCGUGAGACAGUUCGGUCCCUAUCCGUCGUGGGCGUAGGAAAUUUGAGAGGAGCUGUCCUUAGUACGAGAGGACCGGGAUGGACAUACCUCUGGUGUACCAGUUGUCGUGCCAACGGCAUAGCUGGGUAGCUAUGUGUGGACGGGAUAAGUGCUGAAAGCAUCUAAGCAUGAAGCCCCCCUCAAGAUGAGAUUUCCCAACUUCGGUUAUAAGAUCCCUCAAAGAUGAUGAGGUUAAUAGGUUCGAGGUGGAAGCAUGGUGACAUGUGGAGCUGACGAAUACUAAUCGAUCGAAGACUUAAUCAA
This 1287-nucleotide ribosomal RNA is filed under the name Klebsiella oxytoca. RNAcentral's name for it is "partial 23S ribosomal RNA". It matches the Rfam family "Bacterial large subunit ribosomal RNA", at positions 1636 to 2925 of the family's 2925-position model. RNAcentral also lists the same sequence under 8 other names. Lineage: Bacteria; Pseudomonadati; Pseudomonadota; Gammaproteobacteria; Enterobacterales; Enterobacteriaceae. The record is from RNAcentral.